Molecule: ribosomal RNA, 220 nt
Filed under: uncultured bacterium
Lineage: Bacteria
Description: partial 16S ribosomal RNA
Rfam family: Bacterial small subunit ribosomal RNA
Source: RNAcentral
GCGGGUCUGAGAGGAUGAUCCGCCACACUGGGACUGAGACACGGCCCAGACUCCUACGGGAGGCAGCAGUGGGGAAUUUUGGACAAUGGGCGAAAGCCUGAUCCAGCCAUGCCGCGUGAGUGAAGAAGGCCUUCGGGUUGUAAAGCUCUUUCAGAUGGAAAGAAAACGUACAGGUUAAUACCUGUGCGGAUGACGUACCAUCAGAGAGAAGCACCGGCUA